Molecule: ribosomal RNA, 253 nt
Filed under: uncultured bacterium
Lineage: Bacteria
Description: partial 16S ribosomal RNA
Rfam family: Bacterial small subunit ribosomal RNA
Source: RNAcentral
UACAGAGGUCUCGAGCGUUGUUCGGAUUCAUUGGGCGUAAAGGGUGCGUAGGCGGCGAGGCAAGUCUGGUGUGAAAUCCCGGGGCUCAACCCCGGAACUGCACUGGAUACUGCUUUGCUAGAGUACUGGAGAGGGAACUGGAAUUUACGGUGUAGCAGUGAAAUGCGUAGAUAUCGUAAGGAAGACCAGCGGCGAAGGCGAGUUCCUGGACAGUUACUGACGCUGAGGCACGAAGGCCAGGGGAGCAAACGGG